CGGGAGGCAGCAGUGGGGAAUAUUGGACAAUGGGGGCAACCCUGAUCCAGCCAUGCCGCGUGUGUGAAGAAGGUCUUCGGAUUGUAAAGCACUUUAAGUUGGGAGGAAGGGCAUUAACCUAAUACGUUAGUGUUUUGACGUUACCGACAGAAUAAGCACCGGCUAACUCUGUGCCAGCAGCCGCGGUAAUACAGAGGGUGCGAGCGUUAAUCGGAAUUACUGGGCGUAAAGCGAGUGUAGGUGGCUCAUUAAGUCACAUGUGAAAUCCCCGGGCUUAACCUGGGAACUGCAUGUGAUACUGGUGGUGCUAGAAUAUGUGAGAGGGAAGUAGAAUUCCAGGUGUAGCGGUGAAAUGCGUAGAGAUCUGGAGGAAUACCGAUGGCGAAGGCAGCUUCCUGGCAUAAUAUUGACACUGAGAUUCGAAAGCGUGGGUAGCAAACAGGAUUAGAUACCCUGGUAGUCCACGCCGUAAACGAUGUCUACUAGCCGUUGGGGUCCUUGAGACUUUAGUGGCGCAGUUAACGCGAUAAGUAGACCGCCUGGGGAGUACGGCCGCAAGGUUAAAACUCAAAUGAAUUGACGGGGGCCCGCACAAGCGGUGGAGCAUGUGGUUUAAUUCGAUGCAACGCGAAGAACCUUACCUGGUCUUGACAUAGUGAGAAUCUUUCAGAGAUGAGAGAGUGCCUUCGGGAAUUCACAUACAGGUGCUGCAUGGCUGUCGUCAGCUCGUGUCGUGAGAUGUUGGGUUAAGCCCCGCAACGAGCGCAACCCUCGUUCUAUGUUGCCAGCACGUGAUGGUGGGGACUCAUAGGAGACUGCCGGGGUCAACUCGGAGGAAGGUGGGGAUGACGUCAAAUCAUCAUGCCCCUUAUGACCUGGGCUACACACGUGCUACAAUGGCUGGUACAACGAGUCGCAAGUCGGUGACGGCAAGCUAAUCUCUUAAAGCCAGUCUCAGUUCGGAUUGUAGGCUGCAACUCGCCUACAUGAAGUCGGAAUCGCUAGUAAUCGCGGAUCAGCAUGUCGCGGUGAAUACGUUCCCGGGUCUUGU
RNAcentral lists this ribosomal RNA (1051 nucleotides) under Aurantiochytrium limacinum. RNAcentral's name for it is "partial Bacterial small subunit ribosomal RNA". It matches the Rfam family "Bacterial small subunit ribosomal RNA", at positions 342 to 1384 of the family's 1533-position model. The record is from RNAcentral. Lineage: Eukaryota; Bigyra; Thraustochytrida; Thraustochytriidae.